RNAcentral lists this unclassified non-coding RNA (226 nucleotides) under Hevea brasiliensis (rubber tree). The record is from RNAcentral. Lineage: Eukaryota; Viridiplantae; Streptophyta; Magnoliopsida; Malpighiales; Euphorbiaceae.
AAAAAAUUGGCAAAAAUAGUAAAUUUAAACUUGUUUUGUUUAGAUAAAAAAAAAUAAUUAAAUUAUGAUUCGAUAAAACAUAUUAAAAAAUAAAUUUGAUCCGACAAAAAUCUUAUAUUUAUUUAUUAAAAGCAGCUUGAGAGUCUCUAAUAAGCUUAUUACUUAACAUGGACUUAACUAUAUAUGCUUAUAGUGUAUGAGAUAGUUAAAAAACAAAACUUAAUAU